This 520-nucleotide ribosomal RNA is filed under the name uncultured Glomus. RNAcentral describes it as "SSU rRNA". It matches the Rfam family "Eukaryotic small subunit ribosomal RNA", at positions 569 to 1090 of the family's 1831-position model. The record is from RNAcentral. Lineage: Eukaryota; Fungi; Glomeromycota; Glomeromycetes; Glomerales; Glomeraceae.
AGCAGCCGCGGUAAUUCCAGCUCCAAUAGCGUAUAUUAAAGUUGUUGCAGUUAAAAAGCUCGUAGUUGAAUUUCGAGACCGGCUUACUGGUCGUGCUAUUGUACGUACUGGUAUAAUCGGUUUCUCCUUUCUGACGAACUAUAAUGCCAUUAAUUUGGUGUUAUAGGGAAUCAGGACUGUUACUUUGAAAAAAUUAGAGUGUUUAAAGCAGGCUCACGCUUGAAUACAUUAGCAUGGAAUAACGGAAUAGGACGUUUGACUCUAUUUUGUUGGUUUCUAGGAUCGACGUAAUGAUUAAUAGGGAUAGUUGGGGGCAUUAGUAUUCAAUUGUCAGAGGUGAAAUUCUUGGAUUUAUUGAAGACUAACUACUGCGAAAGCAUUUGCCAAGGAUGUUUUCAUUAAUCAAGAACGAAAAGUUAGGGGAUCGAAGACGAUCAGAUACCGUCGUAGUCUUAACCAUAAACUAUGCCGACUAGGGAUCGGAUGAUGUUAAUUUUUUAAUGACUCAUUCGGCGCCUUA